CCUACGGGUGGCAGCAGUGAGGAAUCUUGGUCAAUGGACGAGAGUCUGAACCAGCCACGUCGCGUGAGGGAUGAAUGCCCUCUGGGUUGUAAACUUCUUUUAUAUGGGAGUAAAAGGUUGUACGUGUGGGAUUUUGUCUGUACCAUAUGAAUAAGGAUCGGCUAACUCCGUGCCAGCAGCCGAGGUACUACGGAGGGUCCGAGCGUUAUCCGGAUUUAUUGGGUUUAAAGGGAGCCUAGGUGGUUUGUUAAGUCAGUUGUGAAAGUUUGCGGCUCAACCGGAAAAUUGCAGUGGAAACUGGCAGACUUGAGUACAGAAGAGGAGAGCGGAAUUCGUUGUGUAGCGGUGAAAUGCGUAGAUAUAAGGAAGAACUCCGAUUGCGAAGGCAGUUCACUGGACUGCAACUGACGCUGAGGCUCGAAAGUGUGGGGAGCAAACAGGAUUAGAUACCCCAGUAGUC
RNAcentral lists this ribosomal RNA (460 nucleotides) under uncultured bacterium. RNAcentral describes it as "partial 16S ribosomal RNA". It matches the Rfam family "Bacterial small subunit ribosomal RNA", at positions 338 to 795 of the family's 1533-position model. The record is from RNAcentral.